This 304-nucleotide ribosomal RNA is filed under the name uncultured bacterium. RNAcentral's name for it is "partial 16S ribosomal RNA". It matches the Rfam family "Bacterial small subunit ribosomal RNA", at positions 506 to 807 of the family's 1533-position model. The record is from RNAcentral.
CAGCAGUCGCCACGGGAAUACAGAGGGUGCGAGCGUUAAUCGGAUUUACUGGGCGUAAAGCGUGCGUAGGCGGCUAAUUGAGUCGGAUGUGAAAUCCCCGAGCUUAACUUGGGAAUUGCAUUCGAUACUGGUUAGCUAGAGUGUGGGAGAGGAUGGUAGAAUUCCAGGUGUAGCGGUGAAAUGCGUAGAGAUCUGGAGGAAUACCGAUGGCGAAGGCAGCCAUCUGGCCUAACACUGACGCUGAGGUACGAAAGCAUGGGGAGCAAACAGGAUUAGAUACCCCGGUAGUCCCUGUCUCUUAUAC